UAAAAAAGAACGCCAGAGAGAGAGCGCGUUCGGACCGUUACUUCACUGAUCAAAACCAACUCAUCGAGUGAUAGAACAGCGAAACAGGGAACAGAUGGAGCCGCGAGACUCUAAGAAGCGAAAACGCCCAGAGCAAAACCUAGGAGAGCCUUGGAGGAGAAGCAUGUUGGAUAGCUUUUUCUCCUAUCUUGAAUCUGUGAUGGAAAAUCUACCUGAAGAUGCACAGAGAGAUUUGCAGGAAAGGAUACUUCAAUUCGUCCUCGAUGCAGUGAGACGACAUCAAGCUCUUUCUCCCCCUCCUGGUUAGCUAAGUAGCUAAGCCUUUCAAGACAUUGUCAAAGGAACUGCUACUGCCCAAUAUCUUAAAUGUCUACACCAUCCUCGCAGUGAUGCUGCAGUUUGCUGUCCAUUUCUCUGGUUUAAUGUUUCUUGUUUACCAUGCAAAACAGCUGACUUCUAGGUUUACACUCCUUGUAAUCCUAUAAAUUUCAUGUUCUUCGAGAAAAAUUCUUUAAAGAA
This is a long non-coding RNA of Pomacea canaliculata, 519 nucleotides long. RefSeq lists it as uncharacterized. The transcript is spliced from 4 exons. Lineage: Eukaryota; Metazoa; Mollusca; Gastropoda; Architaenioglossa; Ampullariidae. The record is from RefSeq and is a predicted model, not a curated record.